GGGAAGAUAGCUCAGGGUGAGUGCUUGCCUGGCAAGCAUGAUGCCUGGAGUUUGAUUCCCAGUACUCUCU
RNAcentral lists this transfer RNA (70 nucleotides) under Cavia porcellus (domestic guinea pig). It matches the Rfam family "tRNA". From Rfam's summary of the family: Transfer RNA (tRNA) molecules are approximately 80 nucleotides in length. The record is from Rfam by way of RNAcentral. Lineage: Eukaryota; Metazoa; Chordata; Mammalia; Rodentia; Caviidae.